AUGGAGAGUUUGAUCCUGGCUCAGGACGAACGCUGGCGGCGGGCUUAACACAUGCAAGUCGAAGGAGAAGGGAGAAGCUUGCUUUUCCCGGAGACUGGCGGACGGGUGAGUAACGCGUAGAUAACCUGCCUUUGCCUGGGGGAUAACACUGCGAAAGUGGUGCUAAUACCGCAUAAUGCAGCGGGGCCGCAUGGCCAUAGUUGUUAAAGGAGUAAUCCGGGUAAAGAUGGGUCUGCGUACUAUUAGCUAGUUGGUAGGGUAACGGCCUACCAAGGCGAUGAUAGUUAGGGGGUCUGAGAGGAUGAUCCCCCACACUGGGACUGAGACACGGACCAGACUCCUACGGGAGGCAGCAGUGAGGAAUCUUGCGCAAUGGGCGAAAGCCUGACGCAGCCACGCCGCGUGCCGGAAGACGGCCCUAUGGGUUGUAAACGGCUUUUGCCAGGGAAGAAAGCCCGGGGUUCGCCCUGGAUUGACGGUACCUGGUGAAUAAGCACCGGCUAACUCCGUGCCAGCAGCCGCGGUAAUACGGAGG
This 535-nucleotide ribosomal RNA is filed under the name Goniomonas pacifica. RNAcentral's name for it is "partial Bacterial small subunit ribosomal RNA". It matches the Rfam family "Bacterial small subunit ribosomal RNA", at positions 1 to 531 of the family's 1533-position model. The record is from RNAcentral. Lineage: Eukaryota; Cryptophyceae; Goniomonadida; Goniomonadaceae.